UACGGAGGAUGCAAGCGUUAUCCGGAUUUAUUGGGUUUAAAGGGUGCGCAGGUUGUUUGAUAAGUCAGUGGUGAAAGUCUGUCGCUUAACGGUAGGAUUGCCAUUGAUACUGUUAGACUUGAAUAUGGAUGAGGUAGGCGGAAUGUGUAGUGUAGCGGUGAAAUGCAUAGAUAUUACACAGAACACCGAUUGUGAAGGCAGCUUACUAAUCCAUCAUUGACGCUGAGGCACGAAAGCGUGGGGAUCAAACAGGA
This 254-nucleotide ribosomal RNA is filed under the name uncultured prokaryote. RNAcentral describes it as "partial 16S ribosomal RNA". It matches the Rfam family "Bacterial small subunit ribosomal RNA", at positions 524 to 777 of the family's 1533-position model. The record is from RNAcentral.